UCCUACGGGACGCAGCAGUGAGGAAUUUUGGACAAUGGGGGCAACCCUGAUCCAGCCAUGCCGCGUGAGUGAAGAAGGCCUUCGGGUUGUAAAGCUCUUUCGGCCGGGAAGAAAUCGCGCAGGCUAAUAUCCUGUGUGGAUGACGGUACCGGAAUAAGAAGCACCGGCUAACUACGUGCCAGCAGCCGCGGUAAUACGUAGGGUGCGAGCGUUAAUCGGAAUUACUGGGCGUAAAGCGUGCGCAGGCGGUUUUGUAAGACAGGCGUGAAAUCCCCGGGCUCAACCUGGGAACUGCGCUUGUGACUGCAAGGCUAGAGUACGGCAGAGGGGGGUGGAGUUCCACGUGUAGCAGUGAAAUGCGUAGAGGUGUGGAGGAACACCGAUGGCGAAGGCAGCCCCCUGGGCCGAUACUGACGCUCAUGCACGAAAGCGUGGGUAGCAAACAGGAUUAGAUACCCGCGUAGUCCC
This 468-nucleotide ribosomal RNA is filed under the name uncultured bacterium. RNAcentral's name for it is "bacterial SSU rRNA". It matches the Rfam family "Bacterial small subunit ribosomal RNA", at positions 337 to 797 of the family's 1533-position model. The record is from RNAcentral.